ACUUUGUACAACUUUGGUGUAAUGUUUAUAAGCUAUGAGAAUCUGUGCUAAAAGUAUUAGCCAUUUGUUAUAAAUGCCAAUAAAAUGUACACCAGGGGCAAGAAUGUACAUUUUCUUUUUUAGAAAACCAAAUGUACUUUAUAUGAGAAUGCUACUAUUUAAAGGGUGGUUUCAUCUAUGUUAUUCACUUUGUGUUUUAAGACAAAAAUUCUAAUUUAAACUGUCUUCUCUCAAAUUGUUUGUGUGAAGAUGCUGUGCCCAGUUAAACAGUCCUCAGGUGUUUGUAUAAAUACUGUUUUACAGUCUUCAG
RNAcentral lists this long non-coding RNA (310 nucleotides) under Bos taurus (domestic cattle). RNAcentral's name for it is "long non-coding RNA NONBTAT027018". Lineage: Eukaryota; Metazoa; Chordata; Mammalia; Artiodactyla; Bovidae. The record is from RNAcentral.